AGAGUUUGAUCAUGGCUCAGGACGAACGCUGGCGGCAUGCCUAACACAUGCAAGUCGAACGAGAAAGUUCCUUCGGGAGCAAUUAAAGUGGCGCACGGGUGAGUAACGCGUAGACAAUCUGCCCUUCAGUCUGGGACAACUUUUCGAAAGGAGAGCUAAUACCGGAUAACAAUGCAUGACACAAGUUGUAUAUUUGAAAGCUUUAUGUGCUGAAGGAGGGGUCUGCGUCCCAUUAGCUAGUUGGUAAGGUAAAGGCUUACCAAGGCAACGAUGGGUAGCGGGUUUGAGAGGACGAUCCGCCACACUGGAACUGAGACACGGUCCAGACUCCUACGGGAGGCAGCAGUGGGGAAUAUUGCACAAUGGAGGAAACUCUGAUGCAGCAAUGUCGCGUGAGUGAAGAAGGCCCUUGGGUCGUAAAGCUCUUUUAUGGGGGAAGAUGAUGACGGUACCCCAAGAAUAAGCACCGGCUAACUAUGUGCCAGCAGCCGCGGUAAUACAUAGGGUGCGAGCGUUGUUCGGAAUUACUGGGCGUAAAGGGCGCGCAGGCGGAAUAGUAAGUCGGAGGUGAAAGCCCGGGGCUCAACCCCGGAGGGUCUUUCGAAACUACUAAUCUAGAGAGGGUCAGGGGCCGGCAGAAUUCCUGGUGUAGAGGUGAAAUUCGUAGAUAUCAGGAGGAAUACCGG
Molecule: ribosomal RNA, 686 nt
Filed under: uncultured bacterium
Lineage: Bacteria
Description: bacterial SSU rRNA
Rfam family: Bacterial small subunit ribosomal RNA
Source: RNAcentral